AAGCGUAGCUAAUACCGCAUACGCCCUACGGGGGAAAGCAGGGGAUCGCAAGACCUUGCACUAUUAGAGCGGCCGAUAUCGGAUUAGCUAGUUGGUGGGGUAACGGCUCACCAAGGCGACGAUCCGUAGCUGGUUUGAGAGGACGACCAGCCACACUGGGACUGAGACACGGCCCAGACUCCUACGGGAGGCAGCAGUGGGGAAUUUUGGACAAUGGGGGAAACCCUGAUCCAGCCAUCCCGCGUGUGCGAUGAAGGCCUUCGGGUUGUAAAGCACUUUUGGCAGGAAAGAAACGUCAUGGGCUAAUACCCCGUGAAACUGACGGUACCUGCAGAAUAAGCACCGGCUAACUACGUU
Molecule: ribosomal RNA, 357 nt
Filed under: Achromobacter xylosoxidans
Lineage: Bacteria; Pseudomonadati; Pseudomonadota; Betaproteobacteria; Burkholderiales; Alcaligenaceae
Description: bacterial SSU rRNA
Rfam family: Bacterial small subunit ribosomal RNA
Source: RNAcentral